UCGAUAGUCUUGCUUUGCGCGAGGACUGCCGUAACCGAAGCAAAUGUAAGCAAGUGUGAGCAAAGGUAAUAUUGACUGCUUUCACGAGCCUCACGGGCGAGACGCAAUUGCUUUAACCAGCACCACCGGCGUAGUGUUGUCCCAUCGUGUCUGGUGUGGCGUGGCGGUAGGUGGCUGCGGAAAGGGAGCGUGAUGGAGAGGUACCGGAGGAAGGGAGAGAUUUGACAGAAGCUGAGAGCGUUCUCGUUUUCUCGCUCGUCGUCUGCUGGGCGCGACCGGCGCGGCUACGAAAAACACGGCACUUACCGCCGCCACCGAACAUUGAACGACGCUGCAAGGUUACUAGGACUUCGCUUCAAAAGGACGUUUCGGAAAUAGCCGGAGACUGUGCCGGUCCGAAAGAAAUAGAAGACGGCUGUUGCUCUGAGGCUGGCUGCUCAGAGAAUGGUUGCCAGACAAGGCUACCUCUCGUUCGACUUCGCUUAAGGGUCUCCCUUGCUGUGUGCCUGGACUCGCCUCCCCUCAGCUGUGACCGGCUGGGCGCGUCGUCACACGGAGCGGUCGGAGCAGUUGCUGACACGGCGCCCUGUAUGGAGGCUCGGAGUGCUCGAACCCGCGGUGGUCGUCCGGCGCGCGAUUAAAGCGUGCGCGCUGCAAGCGGACUGCCGUAGUCAGCCUCGGCCCAAUCCGCACGGGGAAGGUGGACGCACCGCAUAAGGGAACGCCCCAAGGCUCGGUGAUCCUAGUUUUCAACGUCGCCAUGCGAAGUCUACAACCAAUCCUAGAAAGGAUCGCAGGAAACAAGCACGCCCUAUACGCCAAUGCAGGCGAUGCAUGCAUACGUUGGCCAGAUAUGCUGCACCUUUGCGCCUGGAUGACCACGUACGAGGCAACAUUGACCAAAUGCGGCACCUGAAAAGGAUAUCUCAGCCAAGCAUUCGUCACUGUACGUGUAACCAUACCCAGCGUACAAUAAAAGCUCUGCAAAA
Dermacentor silvarum is the source of this 989-nucleotide long non-coding RNA. RefSeq lists it as uncharacterized. The transcript is spliced from 4 exons. The record is from RefSeq and is a predicted model, not a curated record. Lineage: Eukaryota; Metazoa; Arthropoda; Arachnida; Ixodida; Ixodidae.